This 228-nucleotide unclassified non-coding RNA is filed under the name Hevea brasiliensis (rubber tree). Lineage: Eukaryota; Viridiplantae; Streptophyta; Magnoliopsida; Malpighiales; Euphorbiaceae. The record is from RNAcentral.
GAGACAUUAACCCAUUUCCAUUUCUUUUACCACAUAAAGAAAUUAACUAUUUUGCCAAUAAAAUAACCAUAAAUAACAAAAUACAGCCAUAAAAGGAGAGCUGAUCCAAGCAACAUGCUCAAAACAGGAAGACUUGACAGCUAAAUCUGACUCAGAUAAAAGCUGGAAAAUUAUCGCUUCAAAAAGAGAAGCAUAAACAGGAAAUACAUACAUUAUUUUCUUUAUUUA